This 468-nucleotide ribosomal RNA is filed under the name uncultured bacterium. Its description in RNAcentral is "partial 16S ribosomal RNA". It matches the Rfam family "Bacterial small subunit ribosomal RNA", at positions 28 to 507 of the family's 1533-position model. The record is from RNAcentral.
GACGAACGCUGGCGGCGUGCUUAACACAUGCAAGUCGAACGGAAAGGCCCUGCUUUUGUGGGGUGCUCGAGUGGCGAACGGGUGAGUAACACGUGAGUAACCUGCCCUUGACUUUGGGAUAACUUCAGGAAACUGGGGCUAAUACCGGAUAGGAGCUCCUGCUGCAUGGUGGGGGUUGGAAAGUUUCGGCGGUUGGGGAUGGACUCGCGGCUUAUCAGCUUGUUGGUGGGGUAGUGGCUUACAAAGGCUUUGACGGGUAGCCGGCCUGAGCGGGUGACCGGCCACAUUGGGACUGAGAUACGGCCCAGACUCCUACGGGAGGCAGCAGUGGGGAAUAUUGCACAAUGGGCGGAAGCCUGAUGCAGCAACGCCGCGUGCGGGAUGACGGCCUUCGGGUUGUAAACCGCUUUCGCCUGUGACGAAGCGUGAGUGACGGUAAUGGGUAAAGAAGCACCGGCUAACUACGUG